This 226-nucleotide unclassified non-coding RNA is filed under the name Hevea brasiliensis (rubber tree). The record is from RNAcentral. Lineage: Eukaryota; Viridiplantae; Streptophyta; Magnoliopsida; Malpighiales; Euphorbiaceae.
UUUUGGCUGACAAAUUCUCUAGUUUAAGUGCAAAUUUGGCAGGUCUGAGCAAGCAGGCACAAAUUUAUAUACAACUUUCCAUGUUUUCAGGGAGACCUCGGUACUGUCAAAUUGUCACAUUGUUGCCAACCGGUUAAGCUGCCUUGUUCUGCAUUAUAUCCUUAUAUUGUCAAGUUUAUGCUAGAUCAACCACAUGUUCAGAUCACACAGCUUACUCUUUUAUUAG